Molecule: small RNA, 692 nt
Filed under: Pongo abelii (Sumatran orangutan)
Lineage: Eukaryota; Metazoa; Chordata; Mammalia; Primates; Hominidae
Description: processed transcript
Source: RNAcentral
AAACAUCAGAUUUUAUUACAUAUAAAUAUUUUGAGCAGCACCUUUUUACUGUAUUUUGGAAAAGCAUUUCUGUCUUCAUUGAGCCAAGUGGCAACACAUAUGUAAUAUACUGAUGCUGAAUUUGCGGUGGGUUGAUUUUUGUCCAUUGCUGGCUUUCACAUGGAAGCAUGAAUAUUGUCUCCCCGCUACCCCUUUUGAGUGACAUCCUUCCAGUGCCUCCAUUUCUCAAGUUGCAGGAAGGAUCUGAGUCUCUCCCUGCGGAGACAGCCCUGAAGAACUCCUGUAACGUCAAGCUGGCAAUUUCCAAGAAGCAAUCUGGAACCUGCAUUUCCAAAGAGACCCACAAGAAAGAAAAGACGUGAUGCUGGGAAGCACUGGUGCCAGAGCCCUCACUGGCGGAUGCUGCCUGUUUCUUGGGUAGUGGGCUAGGAGCAUCCCUGCUCUAGCGGCCCCUGAUUCUGCAACCCUAGGAAUCCUCUGCUCCCUCAUCAGACACAAACCUUGAUAAGACAGCUCCAAUGAGAAAGCCCUGGGAGAAGGUGAAUUAAGGACACUUCCUUUGUAGGAGGAGCUGAUCCUGCUAAUGGGUGACUUUUUAUUAAGCAGGUCAGAAAAUCUUACUGAAAGUAAAUCUGUGGCUCAAAGAGACUUUGGUAUUCUUUUCCCUAGCACUAACUGGAAAGGAGUGCCCC